UUUUUGUAUUAACAGGGAUUUUGAAAGUCUCUUAGGAGUAAAUUUUACUCGCCUAGUG
This 58-nucleotide transfer RNA is filed under the name Salinator rhamphidia. Its description in RNAcentral is "tRNA-Ser". The record is from RNAcentral. Lineage: Eukaryota; Metazoa; Mollusca; Gastropoda; Amphibolidae.